GACGAACGCUGGCGGCGUGCUUAACACAUGCAAGUCGAACGGAAAGGCCCUUCGGGGUACUCGAGUGGCGAACGGGUGAGUAACACGUGGGUGAUCUGCCCUGCACUUUGGGAUAAGCCUGGGAAACUGGGUCUAAUACCGAAUAGGACCACGCGCUUCAUGGUGUGUGGUGGAAAGCUUUUGCGGUGUGGGAUGGGCCCGCGGCCUAUCAGCUUGUUGGUGGGGUAAUGGCCUACCAAGGCGACGACGGGUAGCCGGCCUGAGAGGGUGACCGGCCACACUGGGACUGAGAUACGGCCCAGACUCCUACGGGAGGCAGCAGUGGGGAAUAUUGCACAAUGGGCGCAAGCCUGAUGCAGCGACGCCGCGUGAGGGAUGACGGCCUUCGGGUUGUAAACCUCUUUCAAUAGGGACGAAGCGCAAGUGACGGUACCUAUAGAAGAAGCACCGGCCAACUACGUGCCAGCAGCCGCGGUAAUACGUAGGGUGCGAGCGUUGUCCGGAAUUACUGGGCGUAAAGAGCUCGUAGGUGGUUUGUCGCGUUGUUCGUGAAAACUCACAGCUUAACUGUGGGCGUGCGGGCGAUACGGGCAGACUAGAGUACUGCAGGGGAGACUGGAAUUCCUGGUGUAGCGGUGGAAUGCGCAGAUAUCAGGAGGAACACCGGUGGCGAAGGCGGGUCUCUGGGCAGUAACUGACGCUGAGGAGCGAAAGCGUGGGGAGCGAACAGGAUUAGAUACCCUGGUAGUCCACGCCGUAAACGGUGGGUACUAGGUGUGGGUUCCUUCCUUGGGAUCCGUGCCGUAGCUAACGCAUUAAGUACCCCGCCUGGGGAGUACGGCCGCAAGGCUAAAACUCAAAGGAAUUGACGGGGGCCCGCACAAGCGGCGGAGCAUGUGGAUUAAUUCGAUGCAACGCGAAGAACCUUACCUGGGUUUGACAUGCACAGGACGCCGGCAGAGAUGUCGGUUCCCUUGUGGCCUGUGUGCAGGUGGUGCAUGGCUGUCGUCAGCUCGUGUCGUGAGAUGUUGGGUUAAGUCCCGCAACGAGCGCAACCCUUGUCCUAUGUUGCCAGCGGGUUAUGCCGGGGACUCGUAGGAGACUGCCGGGGUCAACUCGGAGGAAGGUGGGGAUGACGUCAAGUCAUCAUGCCCCUUAUGUCCAGGACUUCACACAUGCUACAAUGGCCGGUACAAAGGGCUGCGAUGCCGUGAGGUGGAGCGAAUCCUUUCAAAGCCGGUCUCAGUUCGGAUCGGGGUCUGCAACUCGACCCCGUGAAGUCGGAGUCGCUAGUAAUCGCAGAUCAGCAACGCUGCGGUGAAUACGUUCCCGGGCCU
This 1337-nucleotide ribosomal RNA is filed under the name uncultured bacterium. Its description in RNAcentral is "bacterial SSU rRNA". It matches the Rfam family "Bacterial small subunit ribosomal RNA", at positions 28 to 1381 of the family's 1533-position model. The record is from RNAcentral.